AGAUUGACCACGCCAAGCUGUUGAUCGAUCAUUCUAUGGCAGAGGAACAGGUUCAAGUAAAUUGAUCAAACCCAGUUCAGCUUGCCUGAUCCUUAUCCAUCUGCGUUUGCAGAAAUGGGAGAUGGGAGAAGAAGAAAUCUGCACAAAAGGAGAAGAAGAAAGCUGAACAAGAGACAUUUCUAACAAAUACUUUGAUUCUUUGAAAAGCUCUACACUUUAAGUCCACUAAUUUAGUAUUUAUUUCAGGCUCACUCCAUGAAAAUGAAAAAUAAAAGAUCAAAUGCAAAAAGAAAAUCAUCCGAGAGAGACAGCCUACAACAAGAGGAGACGAAAUAUGAGGAAUCUUUUUUCUUGGACAUUAGUUUUUCUUUUUGAAACGCGGGCAAAAGCUUUGCCCUUUCUAUUAAUCAAGGAGAAGUUUUACAAGAAAAAAAAGGUGUUGGACUAUCGAUACUUUGGCUCAUGCGUUGGAAAAGGCAACGGGACAUGGGCUUCUCAAUAAGAUCCGAGGGCGGGGUACCAUCCUCCGCACAUCUCUUUAUGCGGAUGAUGCGGCGGUUUUGUAGCCCCUAUUAAAGAAGACAUUCAAAACCUCGCCCACAUCCUCAAUGACUUCGGAAAGGUUACCGGGCUAUGCACAAACUUCCUCAAGAGCUCCGUAGUGCCCAUAAGGUGUGCCAACAUUGACCUCGAUGACAGCCACAAUACCAUAUGGAGCAAUUCAUGUAUAUAUUUUUGUCUCUUUAUUUAUUUCUAUAGCAAGUACCUUCUAAACUUGCUUGGUGCAGGAACCGUUUGACUUUAGUGUUAGCAACAUAAAUCCAGCAAUGACAGCUGCAUCACCAUAUGGAGGUUCAUCGUCUGUCGUUAUGCCUCCAAUUCUAGGAAAAUAUACAAGCAUGUUGUAUCAAGUUCAGCAAAGCUCCGCUCCUGUGUCCAGUUCUCUGCAAUUACGCUUUGAUGGAACUGGAGAAGUCCAACAAUACGAUGGAUCAAAGUUAGAGAUGAAUUGUGUAAUUUAAGGAUGUUGGAUGCAGACCUUUGUUAUAAUCUUUUAUGCACUUGGAAAUUUUAAUGUAAUAGCUAAUAGGCACAGGGUAGUAGAAAGUAAACGAAUUUAUGUUUCGGAAUCUGGAUUCUCCACAGUGUAUUUGAACUGAUUAUUGAAUUAUAUGCGAUUGCAAUUUUCAGU
Lolium rigidum is the source of this 1192-nucleotide long non-coding RNA. RefSeq lists it as uncharacterized. NCBI's taxonomy places the organism in Eukaryota, Viridiplantae, Streptophyta, Magnoliopsida, Poales, Poaceae. The transcript has 3 exons. The record is from RefSeq and is a predicted model, not a curated record.